Molecule: non-coding RNA, 186 nt
Filed under: Luteimonas sp.
Lineage: Bacteria; Pseudomonadati; Pseudomonadota; Gammaproteobacteria; Lysobacterales; Lysobacteraceae
Also listed under: 1 other name
Description: 6S RNA
Rfam family: 6S / SsrS RNA
About the family: E. coli 6S RNA was the first non coding RNA to be sequenced, but its function was unknown until recently. It consists of 184 nucleotides that fold into an extended hairpin structure with a large single-stranded internal bulge.
Source: RNAcentral
CGUCCUCUGCCCUGCGCGACGGCGUGCGCAAACAUUACCCUUGGCCCUUAAAAGCGACCACGGGGAUGCAGCGGUAGCCAGGCGUGCAAGUCCGCCCUCGAGCGGAAAGCCCGAAGGUUGCCAGGCAUUCCCACUUGAACCCCGGGUUCAAGGUCGUUUCGCACGCAUCGCCAUGGCGGAGGAUGU